GACGAACGCUGGCGGCGUGCUUAACACAUGCAAGUCGAACGGAAAGGCCCUGCUUUUGCGGGGUGCUCGAGUGGCGAACGGGUGAGUAACACGUGAGUAACCUGCCCUUGACUUUGGGAUAACUUCAGGAAACUGGGGCUAAUACCGGCUAGGAGCUCCUGCUGCAUGGUGGGGGUUGGAAAGUUUCGGCGGUUGGGGAUGGACUCGCGGCUUAUCAGCUUGUUGGUGGGGUAGUGGCUUACCAAGGCUUUGACGGGUAGCCGGCCUGGGAGGGUGACCGGCCACAUUGGGACUGAGGUAGGGCCCAGACUCCUACGGGAGGCAGCAGGGGGGAAUAUUGCACAAUGGGCGGGAGCCUGAUGCAGCAACGCCGCGUGCGGGAUGACGGCCUUCGGGUUGUAAACCGCUUUCGCCUGUGACGAAGCGUGAGUGACGGUAAUGGGUAAAGAAGCGCCGGCUAACUACGUG
This 468-nucleotide ribosomal RNA is filed under the name uncultured bacterium. RNAcentral's name for it is "partial 16S ribosomal RNA". It matches the Rfam family "Bacterial small subunit ribosomal RNA", at positions 28 to 507 of the family's 1533-position model. The record is from RNAcentral.